RNAcentral lists this ribosomal RNA (930 nucleotides) under Salmonella enterica subsp. enterica serovar Enteritidis. RNAcentral describes it as "bacterial SSU rRNA". It matches the Rfam family "Bacterial small subunit ribosomal RNA", at positions 229 to 1152 of the family's 1533-position model. The record is from RNAcentral. Lineage: Bacteria; Pseudomonadati; Pseudomonadota; Gammaproteobacteria; Enterobacterales; Enterobacteriaceae.
GCCCAGAUGGGAUUAGCUUGUUGGUGAGGUAACGGCUCACCAAGGCGACGAUCCCUAGCUGGUCUGAGAGGAUGACCAGCCACACUGGAACUGAGACACGGUCCAGACUCCUACGGGAGGCAGCAGUGGGGAAUAUUGCACAAUGGGCGCAAGCCUGAUGCAGCCAUGCCGCGUGUAUGAAGAAGGCCUUCGGGUUGUAAAGUACUUUCAGCGGGGAGGAAGGUGUUGUGGUUAAUAACCGCAGCAAUUGACGUUACCCGCAGAAGAAGCACCGGCUAACUCCGUGCCAGCAGCCGCGGUAAUACGGAGGGUGCAAGCGUUAAUCGGAAUUACUGGGCGUAAAGCGCACGCAGGCGGUCUGUCAAGUCGGAUGUGAAAUCCCCGGGCUCAACCUGGGAACUGCAUUCGAAACUGGCAGGCUUGAGUCUUGUAGAGGGGGGUAGAAUUCCAGGUGUAGCGGUGAAAUGCGUAGAGAUCUGGAGGAAUACCGGUGGCGAAGGCGGCCCCCUGGACAAAGACUGACGCUCAGGUGCGAAAGCGUGGGGAGCAAACAGGAUUAGAUACCCUGGUAGUCCACGCCGUAAACGAUGUCUACUUGGAGGUUGUGCCCUUGAGGCGUGGCUUCCGGAGCUAACGCGUUAAGUAGACCGCCUGGGGAGUACGGCCGCAAGGUUAAAACUCAAAUGAAUUGACGGGGGCCCGCACAAGCGGUGGAGCAUGUGGUUUAAUUCGAUGCAACGCGAAGAACCUUACCUGGUCUUGACAUCCACAGAAGAAUCCAGAGAUGGAUUUGUGCCUUCGGGAACUGUGAGACAGGUGCUGCAUGGCUGUCGUCAGCUCGUGUUGUGAAAUGUUGGGUUAAGUCCCGCAACGAGCGCAACCCUUAUCCUUUGUUGCCAGCGGUUAGGCCGGGAACUCAAAGGAGACUGC